Molecule: long non-coding RNA, 838 nt
Filed under: Fragaria vesca (wild strawberry)
Lineage: Eukaryota; Viridiplantae; Streptophyta; Magnoliopsida; Rosales; Rosaceae
Description: long non-coding RNA (FVES_LNC003435)
Source: RNAcentral
UGGUGUUUAAUUUCUAUAGAGAGGAGGAAUGCUUGUUUGCAACUAGGUGCGCUAAUAUCUGAGUUCUUGUACCUCUUCUUCAUAUUGUUAAAUGAUGACGAUUUAAUUAACAAAACUUUAAGCUAGGCUAAUUACAAAACUUUACCGUUAUCGUCCUUGUGUGGUUGGUUAAUUAAUUAACUACCUAGCUUGUAAAUAUAUUUUGCAAACCUGACAUUGAAUUAGUACGAACUUCAUAUAUCUUUGGAAUUAGAUUAAUUUGUUGUUGGGAUUGAACGAACACGAUUAUAAAUGGUUCAAACAUAGUUUGCAUGAUUUCACUAAUUUGGUCGAUUAUAAAUAGAGAUGGAUGGCGAAAGAUGGGUGCAUAUGUGCAUGACAUUUCAUUCCUCACCAAAUGAGACCGUUAUGUGUCGUGAUACAAUAAGUAUAUCUUGGUACCACUUUAUUUUCUCAAUCAUUAUUGAACGAUGUUUUAGACCCAUGCAAAAACUAAAUCUGCAAGACCUUCUCAAGUUUUGUCUGCCAAUUAAUGGUGGCAAAGUUAGAAUUUGAGUAAGAAAAAAAUCAAGAAAAAAAAGGUUUAUAAAUACUUCAAAAGAAGAAAUUGGUAUAUUAGUAAGACAUCCUUGUUUGAAAUAAGCAAGACCUUGAAAUUCAAAUUUUUUCGAACUAGGCCCUGAUUCUCCGAUCGAUUCCUUCACCUACAUGUCUAAGAUUUUAUGCGGGAAAGGUAUCCUUUUUUUGCUUUUUACAGCCAGCCCAUUUUCUGAAAGUAUAUGAUUGUUGAUUUUGUUCUGUUCUUGUGUUGUGUUGUUUGAUUUUAAUUUUAACUCUN